GGUAUAGCUCAACAGGUAGAGCACAUGCUCAAUACCCCAGAGGUCCCGGGUUCAAUCCCCGGUACC
Molecule: transfer RNA, 66 nt
Filed under: Camelus ferus (Wild Bactrian camel)
Lineage: Eukaryota; Metazoa; Chordata; Mammalia; Artiodactyla; Camelidae
Rfam family: tRNA
About the family: Transfer RNA (tRNA) molecules are approximately 80 nucleotides in length. Their secondary structure includes four short double-helical elements and three loops (D, anti-codon, and T loops). Further hydrogen bonds mediate the characteristic L-shaped molecular structure. tRNAs have two regions of fundamental functional importance: the anti-codon, which is responsible for specific mRNA codon recognition, and the 3' end, to which the tRNAs corresponding amino acid is attached (by aminoacyl-tRNA synthetases). tRNAs cope with the degeneracy of the genetic code in two manners: having more than one tRNA (with a specific anti-codon) for a particular amino acid; and 'wobble' base-pairing, i.e. permitting non-standard base-pairing at the 3rd anti-codon position.
Source: Rfam by way of RNAcentral